CCUGACUGCUAUCGGAUUGAUACUAAGCCAUGCGAGUUUUUGUAGUAAUACAAGGCAGACGGCUCAGUAACACGUAGUCAAUCUAACCUAUGGACGAGGAUAAUCUCGGGAAACUGAGAAUAAUACUCGAUAGAUCAUUAUGCCUGGAACGGUUUAUGGUUCAAAUGAAUUUCGCCAUAGGAUGGGACUGCGGUCUAUCAGCUUGUUGGUGAGGUAAUGGCCCACCAAGGCUAUUACAGGUACGGGCUCUGAGAGGAGAAGCCCGGAGAUGGGUACUGAGACACGGACCCAGGCCCUAUGGGGCGCAGCAGGCGAGAAACCUUUGCAAUGUGCGCAAGCACGACAAGGUUAAUCCGAGUGGUUUCUGCUAAAGGAACCUUUUGUUAGUCCUAGAAACACUAACGAAUAAGGGGUGGGCAAGUUCUGGUGUCAGCCGCCGCGGUAAAACCAGCACCUCAAGUGGUCAGGAUGAUUAUUGGGCCUAAAGCAUCCGUAGCCGGCUCUGUAAGUUUUCGGUUAAAUCUGUACGCUCAACGUACAGGCUGUCGGAAAUACUGCAGGGCUAGGGAGUGGGAGAGGUAGACGGUACUCGGGAGGAAGGGGUAAAAUCCUUUGAUCUCUCGAUGACCACCUGUGGCGAAGGCGGUCUACCAGAACACGUCCGACGGUGAGGGAUGAAAGCUGGGGGAGCAAACCGGAUUAGAUACCCGGGUAGUCCCAGCUGUAAACUAUGCAAACUCAGUGAUGCAUUGGCUUGAUGCUAAUGCAGUGUUGCAGGGAAGCCGUUAAGUUUGCCGCCUGGGAAGUACGUACGCAAGUAUGAAACUUAAAGGAAUUGGCGGGGGAGCACCACAAGGGGUGAAGCCUGCGGUUC
Molecule: ribosomal RNA, 874 nt
Filed under: uncultured Candidatus Nitrosopumilus sp.
Lineage: Archaea; Thermoproteati; Nitrososphaerota; Nitrososphaeria; Nitrosopumilales; Nitrosopumilaceae
Description: bacterial SSU rRNA
Rfam family: Archaeal small subunit ribosomal RNA
Source: RNAcentral